RNAcentral lists this long non-coding RNA (508 nucleotides) under Fukomys damarensis (Damara mole-rat). RNAcentral's name for it is "lncRNA (ENSFDAG00000027554.1)". The record is from RNAcentral. Lineage: Eukaryota; Metazoa; Chordata; Mammalia; Rodentia; Bathyergidae.
GCUUUUUAGGCUAAAAUGCGUCGGGAACGGCCGGCUUGUCCUCCUCUGUCGGCUGCCCCGGGGCAGGAGAAAGUGAGCAGAGACCCCGCUUGGACGGUGCGCCGCUAAUUGAAGUCACGCUUCAGCCCCGGAAGUGGCCCGAGAGCCGGAGGAGCUGUGGGGAAAGUGAACAGAGACAAGACAGACUGGACGCAGCACAGUGGCCCGGCCUCCUUCCCAGUGGGCCCAGGGAGCCCCACGCUCUCCAAGAGAAGCCUGGCUUUGCGAUCAGCCCCCCAGAGUGCUGGGGGUUGGGGCACGACUGGAUGUGAGCUCAGCCUGGUGGAGCGGGAGGGAGGGGGCUUGGUGUGGGUGAAGGGGGUGCGGAGGGUAUCGAAGCCAGGAGGGCACCUCCAGGAGGGCCAGGGGUCAGGAGCCUCCAGGGUGCCGGCCUGCAGCUCUGUGGGUGGGCAUGGCCGUGCCAAUGGGAAACAGCCCGGGCGUAAUUAACCCGCCUGAGCAAGGGGAG